GGGGUUGUGGCUCAGUGGUAGAGCACUCAUCUGGCACAUGCGAGGCCCUGGGUUAGAUCCUUAGAACCACA
This is a non-coding RNA of Ictidomys tridecemlineatus (thirteen-lined ground squirrel), 71 nucleotides long. NCBI's taxonomy places the organism in Eukaryota, Metazoa, Chordata, Mammalia, Rodentia, Sciuridae. The record is from Rfam.